RNAcentral lists this ribosomal RNA (433 nucleotides) under uncultured bacterium. RNAcentral describes it as "partial 16S ribosomal RNA". It matches the Rfam family "Bacterial small subunit ribosomal RNA", at positions 29 to 507 of the family's 1533-position model. The record is from RNAcentral.
AACGAACGCUGGCGGCAUGCCUAACACAUGCAAGUCGAACGAUGCCGUCGAGUUUAUGUGCGGAGGGGUGCUUGCCGCGGGGUAAGCUACCCUUAGGUUCGGUAUAACUCCCCGAGAGGUGUCCUAAUGCCGGGUGAUGUCUUCCUGGCAAUUGUUUUUCGGUCUUGUGUGGGCCCGGGUUGGAGUAGCUAGUGGGGAGGGUUAGAGCCUAGCAAGGCGACGAUGCAUAGCUGGUCUGAGAGGAUGAGCGGCCACACCGGGACUGAGACACGGGCCAGAAUCCUAGGGGAGGCAGCAGUGGGGAAUAUUGGAAAAUGGGCGAACGCCUGAUCCAGCAAUGCCGCGUGAGUGAUGAAGGCCUUAGGGUUGUAAAGCUCUUUUAACCGGGAUGAUAAUGACAGUACCGGGAGAAUAAGCGCCGGCUAACUCCGUG